AUACGUAGGUGACAAGCGUUAUCCGGAUUUACUGGGCGUAAAGGGCGUGUAGGCGGUCUUGCAAGUCAGAAGUGAAAUUCCUGAGCUCAACUCGGGCGCUGCUUCUGAAACUGCAGGACUUGAGUGCUGGAGGGGAUAGCGGAAUUCCUAGUGGAGCGGUAACAUGCGCAGAUAUUAGGAAGAACACCGGUGGCGAAGGCGGCUAUCUGGACAGUAACUGACGCUGAGGCGCGAAAGCGUGGGGAGCAAACAGGAUUAGAUAACCUGGUAGUCCACGCCGUAAACGAUGAAUACUAGGUGUAGGGGGUAUCGACUCCCUCUGUGCCGCAGUUAACACAAUAAGUAUUCCGCCUGGGGAGUACGGCCGCAAGGUUGAAACUUAAAGGAAUUGACGGGG
RNAcentral lists this ribosomal RNA (397 nucleotides) under uncultured bacterium. RNAcentral's name for it is "partial 16S ribosomal RNA". It matches the Rfam family "Bacterial small subunit ribosomal RNA", at positions 523 to 918 of the family's 1533-position model. The record is from RNAcentral.